Molecule: ribosomal RNA, 807 nt
Filed under: uncultured bacterium
Lineage: Bacteria
Description: bacterial SSU rRNA
Rfam family: Bacterial small subunit ribosomal RNA
Source: RNAcentral
AGAGUUUGAUCCUGGCUCAGAUUGAACGCUGGCGGCAUGCUUUACACAUGCAAGUCGGACGGCAGCACAGAGAAGCUUGCUUCUUGGGUGGCGAGUGGCGAACGGGUGAGUAAUAUAUCGGAACGUACCGAGUAAUGGGGGAUAACUAAUCGAAAGAUUAGCUAAUACCGCACAUUCUCUGAGGAGGAAAGCAGGGGACCUUCGGGCCUUGCGUUAUUCGAGCGGCCGAUAUCUGAUUAGCUAGUUGGUGGGGUAAAGGCCUACCAAGGCGACGAUCAGUAGCGGGUCUGAGAGGAUGAUCCGCCACACUGGGACUGAGACACGGCCCAUACUCCUACGGGAGGCAGCAGUGGGGAAUUUUGGACAAUGGGCGCAAGCCUGAUCCAGCCAUGCCGCGUGUCUGAAGAAGGCCUUCGGGUUGUAAAGGACUUUUGUCAGGGAAGAAAAGGCUGUUGCUAAUAUCGACAGCUGAUGACGGUACCUGAAGAAUAAGCACCGGCUAACUACGUGCCAGCAGCCGCGGUAAUACGUAGGGUGCGAGCGUUAAUCGGAAUUACUGGGCGUAAAGCGAGCGCAGACGGUUACUUAAGCAGGAUGUGAAAUCCCCGGGCUCAACCUGGGAACUGCGUUCUGAACUGGGUGACUAGAGUGUGUCAGAGGGAGGUAGAAUUCCACGUGUAGCAGUGAAAUGCGUAGAGAUGUGGAGGAAUACCGAUGGCGAAGGCAGCCUCCUGGGAUAACACUGACGUUCAUGCUCGAAAGCGUGGGUAGCAAACAGGAUUAGAUACCCUGGUAGUCCACGCCCUA